This 1317-nucleotide small RNA is filed under the name Pongo abelii (Sumatran orangutan). RNAcentral's name for it is "processed transcript". The record is from RNAcentral. Lineage: Eukaryota; Metazoa; Chordata; Mammalia; Primates; Hominidae.
GCAAUUGACCGAGGCCUGGCUUUUGAACUUGUCUAUAGCCCUGCUAUCAAAGACUCCACAAUGAGAAGGUAUACAAUUUCCAAUGCCCUCAAUUUGAUGCAAAUCUGCAAAGGAAAGAAUGUAAUUAUAUCUAGUGCUGCAGAAAGGCCUUUAGAAAUAAGAGGGCCAUAUGAUGUGGCAAACCUAGGCUUGCUGUUUGGGCUCUCUGAAAGUGAUGCCAAGGCUGCGGUUUCCACCAACUGCCGAGCAGCGCUUCUCCAUGGAGAAACUAGAAAAACUGCUUUUGGAAUUAUUUCUACAGUGAAGAAACCUCGGCCAUCAGAAGAUGAAGAUUGUCUUCCAGCUUCCAAGAAAGCCAAGUGGUCUCACUCUGUCACCCAGGCUGGAGUGCAGUGGCACAAUCUCGGCUCACUGCAACCUUUGCCUCUUGGGCUCAAGCCAUCCUCCCACCUCAGCCUCCCAAGAACUAGAAUUCAAGAAAGACAACUUUGGAUCUCUCGUCAGAGAGAUCAUACUCCCAAGAACAGGCUUUGACCCUUCUGUAAAAGAGGAUUGUCCUGGGCUGAUGAGAGUCACUUUACCUGAAGAUACCUGGGAAGUUUUGUCUCCUCUGAGGUUGGCCCAUGGCCAGUGACUGAUGCAGGACAUUACAGCCCGGCCCACUGGCCUCGGUGGUACAAUUUAUGCUCCUGAGCACCCCAUGGAAUUACACCGUGUGUGGAUUUCUCCUGAAACCACAUACUUGCCUCUUCUGCCCUGUUCUGUUUUUUCUCAUUCCCUUAUAGAGGACUCUCAGUAAGUCACUUGCACAAGAAUCCUAAUUUGAAAUGCUGCUUCCGGGAGACCUGACUUAGAAAAUUGGACAAAUAAAGUUGAUUUUUUUAAAUGUCCAGUAACAUGAAGAUGCUGAACUUUCCUAGUCAUUUAGGGGAAUAUCACCACAAAUAUAUCUGGCUGAUCAGGUUGAAAGUUAAAAGAAAAAAAGAUUUAUAAAGUGGGUAUUUUCAAGAUGGUGUGGAGGGAGAUACAAUUUGAUGCAAGUCUUAUAUUUUUGAUGUCAAUUUAUUCUUCAGAAAUAACUGGUUAAUUAUAAAGGGUGGAUGGAUAAGGAUAUUCACUGCAACAAUGUCUUAAAUGUGAAAAUGGAAACAACCUAAAUACCCAAUAAUAACAGGAUUAAAUAAUUCAUUGUACAUUAAAACAAAAGAAUACUGUCUAUAAAGAUGUCUAGAAUAAGUUGUUCAGUUGAAGUUGUAAAGCUAAAUACACAAUACCCAUAACGUGCACAGAAAUAAUCAGAAUGUCGUGAAACCAGGA